UUAAAUCAUAACAAUUGUUAAAUGUUUUGCCAAAUCAGGUCCAUAUCAGCAAAAUGAACACGUCUUUGAGCCCCAAAAACCAGGAACACGCCUUUCACAGUUUCACUUUCCUUUCCUUAGAAAACCCACCCAAAUUGCAGAAUCCAGAAACAAGGUUGAAGAAGAAAUUGGAAGCGAAAUAGAAACCCUAAAUCCCCAAAAUUGUGGUUCGACAGUCGAUACCCAUAGCCCGGUCCUUCCCGCCAUCAUUCGCUCGUCAAACAGCCCAAAUGAAGCAUAAAGAACCAGGACCCUUCCAUUUCUGCAAUUCGAGCGAAUGGACGGACAACAUGAAGCUAAAAUGUCGAACUUUUUGUGGUUUUUCAUGGGUACGAAGAGUCCAUUCUCGUGGUAAAGAUUAAUGGAUAAAUUUCAUUUCAUUUCUAGUUUGAAUAAUUUGGCAAGGUUAUUGGAUUUGGAUGAUGCAGUUUUCUUCUCCUUUUUUAACGAUAAUGCACAUCUUUCACAAUUUUUCCCAUAUCUCUGUAUAUGUGUACGGUGCACUGAGUGGUGCAACAUAAAGUAUAAGGCAAAUGAGGGAAGAAGGGUGCAAGGGAUUUAUAAACUGGGCUGCAAAUGGUGGACAUGGGUUUCGAGGGCAGGAAAACGAUGAAGUGCGAAUCAUAGUACCUCUACAGGAACACAUGUUUGCUAAUGUGUUUCCCUUUUUGACGAAAGCUGCUAUGGGAGUUGGAUCAUUUUGUUGCAGUGAAGCAGCCAUAUUUCAAACAAGAUUUAGAAGAACCCAAAUGUAUAAAGUAGACAGGACAAUGGUUUUCCUUGGAACAACAAUUGAAUUAUGGUUCUUUCAAAUGUAAAUGAUUUUGCAGUAUAAAUUGAGAACCUAUUAUGUAUGGUUGGUUGGGUAUAUAUUAGCAGAAAUUGUGUUUGUAAUCCUUUGUGUUUAAAGUUGUGUUGUUUAAACAAUAAGCCAUGCAAACCAAUAUAGAAAUAAAAUGUCCUGAUUGAAAUACAGAGAUGAAUCCACCAGACGUCCAAACCUAAAUUUGUUAACAAAGUUAAAAUCAAGCGAUGAGAAUUUACUAAGAUCACCGGAAAUGGCUACAAAAAUUAGAAAAUUUUAACAAACUAGUGCGGGUGGUGGCGAUGUGAGAAAUUCAACGUAGAAAGAUGGCAUAAUUGAUAUUAAUUAACGCAAAGAUAGGGAGUAAUAGUCGCAAGUGUAUAACUUGAGGGGACCAUCACACCAGGGUUUGAGGUUUGCACAAAGAAUAGACUUUUUCACUUUUUUAUUUUUUUAUUUUUUUCCCAUAAUGUAGGUAGUAAUUUUUUUAUAAGUAUAAUUACCGUGUCAAGUGUACCAAAAUUAAUUUUGUGGUAUUGAUUUUUUUACACAUAUAUGCAUGGUAAUUACGUGUAAUCAUUUUUAUGGCUUAUGGAAUUUGAAUUUGGAAAAAGUUCUAUAAUUUUGAUUAUGAUAUUUUUAUUUUACUUACCAAUUUCAGUUCCAACUUGGAAAUUCUAUUUAACCCUCUCUUUACCCCCAUUAAUUUCGAGUUAAAUGUUUCAUUAGUCACUGAUCUUUGAGGUACGUCACGACUUACCCAUCGAACUUUCAAACUUUUUCCACUGGCCACUGAACUUUAAUCCGUUACCGCCCAUUACGCACCGGACCAGAUCUGUUAGUUGACGAGUCUACGUGGCAAAUGGAAAACUGAGUUGGCUGUUAAAUCCUUACAAUUGUUAAAUGUUCUGCCAAAUCAGGUCCAUAUCAGCAAAAUGAACACGUCUUUGAGCCCCAAAAACCAGGAACACGCCUUUCACAGUUUCACUUUCCUUUCCUUAGAAAACCCACCCAAAUUGCAGAAUCCAGAAACAAGGUUGAAGAAGAAAUUGGAAGCGAAAUAGAAACCCUAAAUCCCCAAAAUUGUGGUUCGACAGUCGAUACCCAUAGCCCGGUCCUUCCCGCCGUUGUUCUCUCGUCCAACAGCCCAAAUGAAGCGUAAAGAACCAACACCCUUCCAUUUCUGCAAUUCGAGCAAAUGGACAGACAACAUGAAGCUAAAAUGUCGAACUUUUUGAGGUUUUUCAUGGGUACGAAGAGUCCAUUCUCGUGGUAAAGAUUAAUGGAUAAAUUUCAUUUCAUUUCUAGUUUGAAUAUUUUGGCAAGGUUAUUGGAUUUGGAUGAUGCAGUUUUCUUCUCCUUCUUUUCUAACGAUAAUGCACAUCUUUCACAAUUUUUCCCAUAUCUCUGUAUAUGUGUACGGUGCACUGAGUGGUGCAACAUAAAGUAUAAGGCAAAUGAGGGAAGAAGGGUGCAAGGGAUUUAUAAACUGGGCUGCAAAUGGUGGACAUGGGUUUCGAGGGCAGGAAAACGAUGAAGUGCGAAUCAUAGUACCUCUACAGGAACACAUGUUUGCUAAUGUGUUUCCCUUUUUGACGAAAGCUGCUAUGGGAGUUGGAUCAUUUUGUUGCAGUGAAGCAGCCAUAUUUCAAACAAGAUUUAGAAGAACCCAAAUGUAUAAAGUAGACAGGACAAUGGUUUUCCUUGGAACAACAAUUGAAUUAUGGUUCUUUCAAAUGUAAAUGAUUUUGCAGUAUAAAUUGAGAACCUAUUAUGUAUGGUUGGUUGGGUAUAUAUUAGCAGAAAUUGUGUUUGUAA
This 2662-nucleotide long non-coding RNA is filed under the name Olea europaea (common olive). RNAcentral's name for it is "long non-coding RNA (OEUR_LNC000259)". The record is from RNAcentral. Lineage: Eukaryota; Viridiplantae; Streptophyta; Magnoliopsida; Lamiales; Oleaceae.